CAGGACCUCCCGGUAAGCGAGGAAGAAGAGGCCGUGAUGGAGAACUGGGACCUCCUGGCCCUCCAGGUCCAAAGGGUGAUAAGGGGGAUCAAGGUGACCAAGGACCUCG
Long non-coding RNA from Nematolebias whitei (Rio pearlfish), 109 nucleotides. RefSeq lists it as uncharacterized. The transcript has 4 exons. NCBI's taxonomy places the organism in Eukaryota, Metazoa, Chordata, Actinopteri, Cyprinodontiformes, Rivulidae. The record is from RefSeq and is a predicted model, not a curated record.